Molecule: ribosomal RNA, 253 nt
Filed under: uncultured bacterium
Lineage: Bacteria
Description: partial 16S ribosomal RNA
Rfam family: Bacterial small subunit ribosomal RNA
Source: RNAcentral
UACAGAGGGUGCGAGCGUUAAUCGGAAUUACUGGGCGUAAAGCGCACGUAGGCGGCUUUGCAAGUCAGGUGUGAAAUCCCCGGGCUUAACCUGGGAACUGCAUUUGAGACUGCAUUGCUAGAGUAUGGGAGAGGGAAGUGGAAUUUCAGGUGUAGCGGUGAAAUGCGUAGAUAUCUGAAGGAACAUCAGUGGCGAAAGCGACUUCCUGGACCAAUACUGACGCUCAUGUGCGAAAGCGUGGGGAGCAAACAGG